This 492-nucleotide ribosomal RNA is filed under the name uncultured bacterium. Its description in RNAcentral is "partial 16S ribosomal RNA". It matches the Rfam family "Bacterial small subunit ribosomal RNA", at positions 29 to 507 of the family's 1533-position model. The record is from RNAcentral.
AGUGAACGCUGGCGGUAGGCCUAACACAUGCAAGUCGAACGGCAGCACAGUAAGAGCUUGCUCUUACGGGUGGCGAGUGGCGGACGGGUGAGGAAUACAUCGGAAUCUACUUUUUCGUGGGGGAUAACGUAGGGAAACUUACGCUAAUACCGCAUAUGCCCUACGGGUGAAAGCAGUGGAUCUUCGGACCUUUCGCGAUUGAAUGAGCCGAUGUCGGAUUAGCUAGUUGGCGGGGUAAUGACCCACCAAGGCGACGAUCCGUAGCUGGUCUGAGAGGAGGGUCAGCGACCAUAGAACGGAGACACGGUCCAGACUCCUAAGGGAGGGAGCAGUGGGGAAUAUUGGACAAUGGGCGGAAGCAUGAUACAGCCAUACCGCGUGGGUGAAGAAGGCCUUCGGGUUGUAAAGACCUUUUGUUGGGAAAGAAAAGCAGCAGGUUAAUACCCCGCUGGUCUGACGGUACCCAAAGAAUAAGCACCGGCUAACUUCGUG